ACAGCACUUUCAUAGGUCCUCCCCCAGGCAGUGGGGCCAGGAUUUGGUAGCUGGUGCUGAAAGGAAAAACCCUGGGUUGCAUCCGUGCCCUGGGACUGUGCCAGUGGCAGCUGGCACUCAGUAGCACAGAG
Molecule: small nucleolar RNA, 131 nt
Organism: Phyllostomus discolor (pale spear-nosed bat)
Lineage: Eukaryota; Metazoa; Chordata; Mammalia; Chiroptera; Phyllostomidae
Product: small nucleolar RNA SNORA30/SNORA37 family
Exons: 1
Source: RefSeq, a predicted model, not a curated record